AGAAAUCCAUGUGCUUGCACAAUGGAUUGAUUAUGCUUUAGAAACCCGCCAAAAUAUGAGGAUGGAGCGGUGUGCCGCGGAAUCCGAAUAUUUUGCAGGAUUGCGGGAGCACAGAGUGCGGAGCAAUCCGUAGGUGU
Molecule: small RNA, 137 nt
Filed under: uncultured Eubacterium sp.
Lineage: Bacteria; Bacillati; Bacillota; Clostridia; Eubacteriales; Eubacteriaceae
Description: Clostridiales-1 RNA
Rfam family: Clostridiales-1 RNA
Source: RNAcentral